CUCCUACGGGAGGCAGCAGUAGGGAAUCUUCCGCAAUGGGCGCAAGCCUGACGGAGCAACGCCGCGUGAGUGAGGAAGGCCUUCGGGUUGUAAAACUCAGUCACCUGGGAAGAGAGGUAUGGGGAGUGGAAUGCCCCAUACGAGACGGUACCAGGGGAGGAAGCCCCGGCUAACUACGUGCCAGCAGCCGCGGUAAUACGUAGGGGGCAAGCGUUGUCCGGAAUCACUGGGCGUAAAGCGUGCGUAGGCGGUCUUUCAAGUCCGGGGUGAAAACUCAAGGCUCAACCUUGAGAAUGCCUUGGAAACUGGGGGACUUGAGUACUGGAGAGGCAAGGGGAAUUCCACGUGUAGCGGUGAAAUGCGUAGAGAUGUGGAGGAAUACCAGUGGCGAAGGCGCCUUGCUGGACAGUGACUGACGCUGAGGCACGAAAGCGUGGGGAGCAAACAGGAUUAGAUACCCUGGUAGUCCACGCUGUAAACGAUGAGUGCUAGGUGUUGGGGGUUCAUCCCCUCAGUGCCGAAGGAAACCCAAUAAGCACUCCGCCUGGGGAGUACGGUCGCAAGACUGAAACUCAAAGGAAUUGACGGGGGCCCGCACAAGCAGUGGAGCAUGUGGUUUAAUUCGAAGCAACGCGAAGAACCUUACCAGGGCUUGACAUCCCUCUGACCGGUUCAGAGAUGGACCUUCCCUUCGGGGCAGAGGAGACAGGUGGUGCAUGGUUGUCGUCAGCUCGUGUCGUGAGAUGUUGGGUUAAGUCCCGCAACGAGCGCAACCCUUGACCUGUGUUACCAGCACGUAAUGGUGGGGACUCACAGGUGACUGCCGGCGUAAGUCGGAGGAAGGUGGGGAUGACGUCAAAUCAUCAUGCCCUUUAUGUCCUGGGCUACACACGUGCUACAAUGGGCGGUACAACGGGAAGCGAGACCGCGAGGUGGAGCGAAACCCAAAAAGCCGUUCGUAGUUCGGAUUGCAGGCUGCAACCCGCCUGCAUGAAGCCGGAAUUGCUAGUAAUCGCGGAUCAGCAUGCCGCGGUGAAUCCGUUCCCGGGCCUUGCACACACCGCCCGU
RNAcentral lists this ribosomal RNA (1068 nucleotides) under Alicyclobacillus sp. enrichment culture clone MRT18-24. Its description in RNAcentral is "bacterial SSU rRNA". It matches the Rfam family "Bacterial small subunit ribosomal RNA", at positions 336 to 1397 of the family's 1533-position model. The record is from RNAcentral. Lineage: Bacteria; Bacillati; Bacillota; Bacilli; Caryophanales; Alicyclobacillaceae.